UGUGUGUGUGUGAGAGAGAGAGAGAGACUACAGAGAGAGAGAGAGACAGAUGUACUCACCUUUGGAGUAUUUUUUUCUAACUCAGAACUGUACAGUGAAUAAAACAGGAUUCAGGUGAUGCUCA
Alosa sapidissima (American shad) is the source of this 124-nucleotide long non-coding RNA. RefSeq lists it as uncharacterized. The transcript is spliced from 2 exons. NCBI's taxonomy places the organism in Eukaryota, Metazoa, Chordata, Actinopteri, Clupeiformes, Clupeidae. The record is from RefSeq and is a predicted model, not a curated record.